UGGGAGGGCCUCUCGCGCUGGGGUUCCAGCACCGGGCUGCUUGCUGUCGUGUAGGCUGGAGCGUCCUGUCCGCCUCCUGUCCGUUUCCCUCUCUGCUGAAGGGGUGCCAGGCGCGGGCCUCCACUGUCCCUCGGCCCCUGGAUGCGGAUACAGGGGUCUCGGCAGAGCCACAGCUUCCAGGUACGGGGCCCAGACCCUGUGGAGCCUGAGAUGGAGACGUCUGGGGACCCGUUCCCCAGUGACUGGAGCCCGCCGCCCAUUGAGUUCCUCAGUCCCUGGCCUCCACAGACCCAAGAGAGGACACUGGCUGAGGGAUCAGAGCUGCAGCCCACAGAUGUGGACCUGAAGGAGGGGCCGUCCUCCCCGGAGGAGCCAUGCUGCAGCAGGGCCAGCCCGAGCCAGCUGGUGGCCAGCCCAGAGCCCGGCACCUAUGUCUCGGUGGCUCUGGGGUGGCACCCAAUUCAGUGCCACUUCUGCAUGGAGUCCCUCUACCUUCACAGCAGAGGUUGGCAUCAUGGUGACUGAAUCCGGGCUUGGCUGGCACAGAGACUCAGGCUGACCCUGGUGACCCAGUGACCAGGGUCCCCUACAUGGACACAUCAGGGAUGAACCUCACGUCGGGAAUCUGCUCUUGGGGGAAGAUGAAAAACUCCAAUCUCCAAGGGCCCAGAAAUGGAUUCUAUGAAUCAGAGCAGGCCAUGGUGGUGCACAUCUGUGAUCCCAGUACUCUGAAGGCUGAGACAGAAGGAUCGAUGUUAGUUCAAGGCCAGCCUAGUGUUACAAAGGGAACUCAAGGCCAGCAUAGUGAGACUCUGUCUCAAAAAUAUCAGUAGUAAUAAUUAAGUAAAUAAAAUAUAAAACACCAAAGCAGCACCCACCAGAGUCCCCUAUUGGGAGGAGCUGGGUGGCUGGGGUGGAGGUGAAUGAGAAAACACCUUCUUCCUCUUUGAUUUUUUAAUCAUGAGAAUGUAUUAUUUCUCCAGAAAAGUAAACACAAUAAAUCAAGGGCUUGUUUUAUUCAUUUAUUUUGGUUCUUUUGAGACAGUGUCUUGCUAUGUAGUCCAGGCUGGCUGCAAACUUGUGGCAAUCCUCCUGCCUCAGCCUCCCAGGUGCUGGGAUCACAGCCCAACAACAAGGGCUUAUUUAAGGCUGAACCUUUACUUUUCCUGCUCCUCUAACUUUGCAUUCCUCUCUCUUCCCCACUCCCCUGUGUCUCCAGUAUGGCCCCAGGGGCUCCAAGAACUACAUCAACUCCUUAGAUUCCUUACUGCGGGAGAAGAGGGUGAGCAAAGUCCACUGUGUGUUCAUUUCUCUGAGAUUUUCAAGAGUUUUAGAGCUAAGUGACUUUCUGUCCCAGUGCACAGCUUUCUCCACCUGUGUGUGGAUUGCCACUGAACUAGAGGAGGCGGCAUCUCCAUGAGGCAGGGGAGCUCCGGAUUCCCAGGGUGAUAGAGCGGUCACCCCGGCCCUCCACCACUGGGCUCCAUGCUGCCUGCUACAUGCAGAGUCAGGACCAUUUGGCUGGAGGAACACAGCCUCCCUGUGGGCACAUGAGGUGCCAGCCACUGCUGCUGGCCUGUCUCCUGCCCUGGCACUGCAGCGUUGUCCUGGUGGGAGAGCCAGACUGAUGAACAAGUCAGGUUACUCAGCCCAGCAUCUUCCAGAGGCACAAAUUCAGUUGACUGAUCAGAACCUUGAGCCCUCAGGGCCCUGGGGAUAGCACCUGGCCCUCUGCCAGGCCCACUGCCCAUGAGCAGCUUGGCACACACCAGAG
Long non-coding RNA from Heterocephalus glaber (naked mole-rat), 1774 nucleotides. The record is from Ensembl. Lineage: Eukaryota; Metazoa; Chordata; Mammalia; Rodentia; Bathyergidae.